This 501-nucleotide ribosomal RNA is filed under the name soil bacterium S32M2. RNAcentral's name for it is "bacterial SSU rRNA". It matches the Rfam family "Bacterial small subunit ribosomal RNA", at positions 65 to 581 of the family's 1533-position model. The record is from RNAcentral.
AACGAUGAUCCCAGCUUGCUGGGGGAUUAGUGGCGAACGGGUGAGUAACACGUGAGUAACCUGCCCUUGACUCUGGGAUAAGCCUGGGAAACUGGGUCUAAUACCGGAUAUGACUCCUCAUCGCAUGGUGGGGGGUGGAAAGCUUUUGUGGUUUUGGAUGGACUCGCGGCCUAUCAGCUUGUUGGUGGGGUAAUGGCCUACCAAGGCGACGACGGGUAGCCGGCCUGAGAGGGUGACCGGCCACACUGGGACUGAGACACGGCCCAGACUCCUACGGGAGGCAGCAGUGGGGAAUAUUGCACAAUGGGCGCAAGCCUGAUGCAGCGACGCCGCGUGAGGGAUGACGGCCUUCGGGUUGUAAACCUCUUUCAGUAGGGAAGAAGCGAAAGUGACGGUACCUGCAGAAGAAGCGCCGGCUAACUACGUGCCAGCAGCCGCGGUAAUACGUAGGGCGCAAGCGUUAUCCGGAAUUAUUGGGCGUAAAGAGCUCGUAGGCGGUUU